UACGUAGGGUGCAAGCGUUAAUCGGAAUUACUGGGCGUAAAGCGUGCGCAGGCGGUUUUGUAAGUCAGAUGUGAAAUCCCCGGGCUUAACCUGGGAACUGCGUUUGAAACUACAAGGCUAGAGUGUGGCAGAGGGGGGUGGAAUUCCAGGUGUAGCAGUGAAAUGCGUAGAUAUGUGGAGGAACACCGAUGGCGAAGGCAGCCCCCUGGGUCAAAACUGACGCUCAUGCACGAAAGCGUGGGGAGCAAACAGG
This 253-nucleotide ribosomal RNA is filed under the name uncultured bacterium. Its description in RNAcentral is "partial 16S ribosomal RNA". It matches the Rfam family "Bacterial small subunit ribosomal RNA", at positions 524 to 776 of the family's 1533-position model. The record is from RNAcentral.